This 303-nucleotide unclassified non-coding RNA is filed under the name uncultured fungus. RNAcentral's name for it is "partial contains small subunit ribosomal RNA, internal transcribed spacer 1, and 5.8S ribosomal RNA". The stretch from base 1 to 73 matches the Rfam family "Eukaryotic small subunit ribosomal RNA", at positions 1759 to 1831 of the family's 1831-position model. The record is from RNAcentral. Lineage: Eukaryota; Fungi.
GCAAACUUGGUCAUUUAGAGGAAGUAAAAGUCGUAACAAGGUUUCCGUAGGUGAACCUGCGGAAGGAUCAUUACUGAGUGAGGGUGUUUUUACGCCCAAACCCCCAACCCUUUGUCAAAUUUACCUUUGUUGCUUCGGUUGGUCGGUGUCUCGACACCGCCGGACUUUCGAGUCGGGAGAGUACCAACCGAUAGCCUCAACCUUUAAAUUCUUGAUAAUUAUGAAUUGUCUAAGUCUUAAACAAAUAAAAACAAAACUUUCAACAACGGAUCUCUUGGUUCUGGCAUCGAUGAAGAACGCAGC